GAUUGAGCCAAAGCUGAGCCUGUGAUACAGCCAGGAGCAAUACUAAGAAAUACAAGAAUAUACACUUGCCAGCUUCAACAGGACAUGGGCUGUGUCUGCUUGCUCAGUAUAGGUAUGUUCCUAGGGCUGCAUCUGAAGAAGGAAAGAAGGAAAAUGAAAUAUGUAUCCCUGGUGGAACCAAAGACAAAAUAUUGCAGGGAUUUCUGCUGCAGGGCUGGGGGAACCUCACGCUGGAUUAUCACUUCUCUGUACCUCAGAAAAUGUUAUGCUGCUACAGCAAGGUUCAAGCACCUUCUAAAUGCAGCUCCACCAAGUGGAGCUGUACUAGCAUGGAAGCUUUUGGGACAGUUGUUCACACUAAACAUCUAUGAAAUUUUGGGGGAUGGUCUACCUCACCCCUGUACAUGCAACCUUACAAGGCAGAAUUUUGAGUUUUGUGCUUUAAUUUAUUAUAAAAAUGUGCAUAUUUGCAGUCUAAGUCAAAUCUGAGCUCCUUCACUGAAAACAAGCUUUCUGAACUGACUCCUCUUCCCAUCCUGCCAGCUGGGCAGGGUGUUGAUAAAAAAAUUGGCCACAGAAGGUUCUCGUGGGUGCAUGAUGGCCACAGAUGUUCUCCAGCCUGCUAAGUAGGUUUUAAAAGGGGGAAGGAGAAAAAAAAAAAUGUAUGUCUUCCUUCAGCAUGAGGAAGCUGGCCCAUGGAGGGGGAGAGGAUGUGUCCAACAACAUCAUCUCAGCACAGCGGUGAGUGAAGGCUGUGUAACUCCUGCUUUGUACCCAAGUGCUAGACCAGCUUGAACUGUGUGAAGCCCAGAUUGGGAUUAAAUCAGGGAAGUUUGUGGCUGCUAGUUUUGGGUUGUGUUCCAAAAGCCUUGCUUUCUCAUCUGUUGUUGAGUACGGCUUUGUCCAUCCUGUUGCUAACUAGUGUUUUUAUUACAGACUCAGUCAAAUAGUAGGCAAGAGGGGAAUGUGGGGAAAGAAACAAUGUAUUGGGCUUGCAAGAACAGAAAUUAUCCUUAAAAUACACUGAGGUGGAACAGCAAGGAUUAAAAGUGGAUAGCAAUUGUCUCUCUCUUCAACAGGAGCUCUUCCCCACCCUGAACCAGUCUUGAGAAUCUUCCUGCUUUUUCCAAAAAUAAAGGCCUUCUCAUAUCCAAAACACUUCAGAGUAAUUUCAUCUCCUGUUUAACUCUUGGCUAAUAAUUUCAUCUUUCAUUUCCUCCUAUUGUUCCCUCUGGCAUGUAUCCCAUCUAUUAUAAACCCCAGAUAUCAUAAAGUAAUUUUUUUUAGAUUUAGGGAGAGGGAAAUAAGAGUCAGGUGGUUUGAAGUAAGAUUUUUAUAGCAGCACAAGUUCUGGAAGCAUUGUACAGAGACUAGUAUUAAAGGAAUAGCUCCAUGGGAGGAAACUGGAGUGAGGAGACAAAGCAGCCCUAGCUCUUCGUGAGAGUUGUAUUACUGCCAAGGCAAGGAUAAUUGCUCCUAUUUAGGAAUCCAAUGCAAAAUGGAGCUUUACAGGCACUAAGGAGAGAGUAGAGAUUUUCACAGGCACAAAGUAGCCUCUACAUUAAUGCUCAUGGGAGUUGGGCAUUUCUGAAAGUCUCCAUCUAAUUACUGUACUGAAAAAGUUGGCUGCGAAAUAAUGUAUUUACAAAAUUAAAAUGUCUGUAAAUA
This is a long non-coding RNA of Oxyura jamaicensis (ruddy duck), 1668 nucleotides long. RefSeq lists it as uncharacterized. The record is from RefSeq and is a predicted model, not a curated record. Lineage: Eukaryota; Metazoa; Chordata; Aves; Anseriformes; Anatidae. The transcript has 2 exons.